GCAGAGACAGGUGCUGCAUGGCUGUCGUCAGCUCGUGUUGUGAAAUGUUGGGUUAAGUCCCGUAACGAGCGCAACCCUUGUCCUUAUUUGCCAGCGAGUAAUGUCGGGAACUCUAAGGAGACUGCCGGUGACAAACCGGAGGAAGGUGGGGACGACGUCAAGUCAUCAUGGCCCUUACGGGUAGGGCUACACACGUGCUACAAUGGCCGGUACAAAGGGCUGCGAGCUCGCGAGAGUCAGCGAAUCCCCUAAAGCCGGUCUCAGUCCGGAUCGGAGUCUGCAACUCGACUCCGUGAAGUCGGAAUCGCUAGUAAUCGUGAAUCAGAAUGUCACGGUCGAAUACGUUCCCGGGCCUU
RNAcentral lists this ribosomal RNA (356 nucleotides) under uncultured Halomonas sp. RNAcentral's name for it is "bacterial SSU rRNA". It matches the Rfam family "Bacterial small subunit ribosomal RNA", at positions 1028 to 1382 of the family's 1533-position model. Lineage: Bacteria; Pseudomonadati; Pseudomonadota; Gammaproteobacteria; Oceanospirillales; Halomonadaceae. The record is from RNAcentral.